Long non-coding RNA from Maylandia zebra (zebra mbuna), 660 nucleotides. RefSeq lists it as uncharacterized. The record is from RefSeq and is a predicted model, not a curated record. NCBI's taxonomy places the organism in Eukaryota, Metazoa, Chordata, Actinopteri, Cichliformes, Cichlidae.
ACAGAUAGACCAGUGGCAGACAGUAAUGGGUGGCUGGAUGAAUGAAUACGAAGCCAGUGCAGAAGUCCCAAAAGCAGCAAUUCAACAUGAAAUGAUGAUUUGAUACUGCCUCUAAAAAGUCCAACUCCAGGGAAGAACUUCAUCUAUAGCUGGUUUGGCCCUUCAAAACAAAUGUACAGUGGGACGAUUUUGGCCAGCUUGGCAGCCUAUGUGUUGCUCAUGUUCAGAAGUUUGAUGGCUUGAGGAAUAAAAGACCAUUUGGACCUGUUUUUGGUGAACAAUGGGUCUCAUUCGUGCAACCUGCAUCCUUCCUGCCUCCAGCUCAUUCUGGCCAGUUAGAGAUCCUCAUCCAAGUCUCCACCUGCCACAUUUCUUCCGCUACAACCAGUGUCGAGAUUCCGGGGGGUCCUGACCUACUUCUACCACUUUGGACUCCACUCUGCUGUGUAACUUGGCGUAAUCACCAAACAACUUUUUACUCAAACUCUGUUCUUCUAUAAAUCAUGUCCAAUUCUUUCGAAUGAUCUGUCCUUAUUGAACUGAUUCUCGGGACAUUUGGGGACAGGAAAACAACCUUUGAACACAACAAUAUUUAUAAUUUGAUACAGAGGUCUCAUGAGCAUGAAGUAAUAGUUCUCAUUUACUCCUGGUUUUGGUUGC